CAGCAGCCGCCGCGGGAAUACGAAGGGGGCUAGCGUUGUUCGGAUUUACUGGGCGUAAAGGGCGCGUAGGCGGACUGAUAAGUCAGGGGUGAAAUCCCAAGGCUCAGCCUUGGAACUGCCUUUGAUACUGUUUGUCUUGAGUUCGAGAGAGGUAAGUGGAAUUCCCGGUGUAGCGGUGAAAUGCGUAGAGAUCGGGAGGAACAUCAGUGGCGAAGGCGGCCAUCUGGGACAACACUGACGCUGAGGCACGAAAGCGCGGGGAGCAAACAGGAUUAGAUACCCGCGUAGUCCCUGUCUCUUAUAA
Molecule: ribosomal RNA, 304 nt
Filed under: uncultured bacterium
Lineage: Bacteria
Description: partial 16S ribosomal RNA
Rfam family: Bacterial small subunit ribosomal RNA
Source: RNAcentral